GCCCGAAGGGCAGGUCUCGGUGAGCGGAACCCUCGCGCAUGCUUGGCUUCUCUGAAAUCAGCUCCAUCUCUGUGGUCCGGCUGCUCACAACAAAGGCCCAGGUUAUUUUUAGUUCUUAAGCUCCUGAGGAAGCUCCCGGAGACUCGGGCUAGUUGGGCCACUUCUGCCCGGCUGCAGUAUUUGUGCUGUCCCUCAGCAGGAGUGCUCCUCUCCAGGCUAAUUGCUCUUGGCCAGUGGACCCAGGGCAGCCUGGCAUGAAACCAAGCAGUGUGGGUCUCCCCCACGCUUCUGCAGAGUGACCUGUGGCAAGCGAUGGGGGUCACUCUCCUGCAGGGGCCUGUGGCCUCAGAGUGACUCACACACAUACAUAAUGGUCUCAUUUAAAGGGCCCCUGUCCGAAUGGAAUUUUCAUCUUCCUCAUAAGUAAUUUCCUUCCGCCUGCUGGUCGGUGAGCUCGUCUGAAUCCUGAAGGCCCAGGGAGGGAUAGGGAGGGUGACAUUCCAUCAGAGGGGCACAUUUUCUCUCCUGACUACUCCAGCUCUCUCUCUUCCCACAAAACUCAAAGCAGGCUGUCUCCAAAGGCUAAUAAUUGGUUUUGAGAGUCAUUUAAAUUUAAAUUUAGAGAAAAAAAAUUCCCCAAAUGUUCCUAAAUGCCACAAUAGCUUAAAAACUUAAAAAGCAAGUCUGAAACCCCAAAUUAUGGCUCUACAACUUGACACGUCCUCUUCGGAGUAUGUGUAAAUUUGUUUUCCACAGAAGUGCAGGCGAUAGGGCACCCCUGUUCUCUCUCAGCCCCACGUCUGCUUUGCCCACACAAGCUGAGCCUGAGCUGGGUCUCCCAGGCCAAGGCAGGGCACUGGAACUUGCCUGCAGUGGUGAGGGUCAGGGGUCUGUAGUGACAUUAGGAUGGCCCUGGAAUUUCCCUCUCUGCUUCAUUACUCCCUGCAGAAUGGGGCCAACCCAUUCUUCAUCUUUGGAGGCCUCAGUUUCCCCAUCUGGAAAGCAGGGAUAGCAAGCCAACUUGUGGGCUGGCACUGUCAGGGUACUGCAAGCAGACAAAAGUCUCCAUGGUCACAUUUAUCACCUCUGUGUUGAAAAGAGGACAGGGUUGUUAAACGUUAAAUUGGUUUCUUUCUUUUUUUUUUUUUUUUGAACCCCAGAGAAUGAGCUAGAAUCAUUCUCUGAGCUAGAAUCACAAGAUGCCUGUGAAGGAUCAGAGUUUUUGUGUUGCCUCUGCCAUGGAGUAGCUAUGUGACACUGGGCAAGUCACCUAACCUCCCUGAACCUCAAUUUGCCCACCUGGAAAAUGGAGAUAGUAACACUUGCCCUGACUAUUCCAGAGCGAGAUUGAGAGUUUUGCUACAUAAACAAGCACUGCAGAGCCAUCCUUGUCUGGGAAGAACGCCAGAUAUUUUCCAUGUCCACCUUCUUGUGUGCAUUAGCCAAUGUUAGAUGUCUUCUUCAUAUCUCCCUUGUGACCAAAGGGAGUUUAUAUUGCCAGGGCCGGGCUGCCCAUGGUCAGGGUCCUGGCAAAAGCUGUGACCAAGGAAAUCAUGACUUGCAUGGGCUGUGGGGUGGAGGUGAGGGAUGUACAUGGGGUUGGGGACUUUAAAAUGAAGGUGCUCAGGAUACUCCCUUCUAUAAGAUGAAUGCAGUUGAGAAUGGAAAGGUGACUUUUAGAGAGGGCUAUGAUUCGUUUCAGUUCAUGGGUAAUGCUCACUUUCUGACCAACACUGCCACUUUCUAGCUGACUGACCUUGAGCCAAUGACUUCACCUCUCUGAGCCUCAUUUCACACGUCUGUAAGGUGGGGAAACAUGGCCUAUCCAGCAUGGUCUUUGCAGUUAUUCGAGGUGACGUUGGUAAAGAUCCUGGCACGGGUCUGGCACGAUGAUAGUCCCUACUCCAUGGUAGCUACUGUCAUUUUCUGCAGAGGUCACCAAAUGGGGACAAUGAUGGGGUUGUCUCCCGGCUCAAAUGCUGGGAACAGCCAGGAGACCUUUGCUGGACUUUACUGGGAGACCUCUGUAUUGUGGCUCCAGCAAACCAGAGAGGUGAGGCGCCGGAUUCAACCCGGAAGUGGAAAUCCUGUUCCCUGCAGGCAUUUUUGAAACCCUGCUUUUGGGACCUGUAGCAAAUCCAGCACAGGCAACAUUAUGUGGAAAUAGAAACAGGGCUCCUGCUAGGAGAUUGACAUUCUGGCUUUCCUUCAGAACCCCUCACUGACUCAUUGCCCCUGAAGCAGGAGCCAGCAGGUCCCAAAGCUCCCCUGCUCCUGUCCUUGCCCCAGGGCAAGGUAGGAAGCCCAGGCAGGCUGAGCCCAGCCAACUGGAACCAGGGAAGAGCUCGUGGGUGGGUGGAAGGGAGGGAAGGAGGCCAGAUUCCUCCAGAGCUGGGGAAGAUAACAGGUUUUGAAGUUGGGGGAGGGUUUGGGUUUCACAGUGAUGGUUUCAUGAUACCCUGGAGGGUUACACACUCAUGGUGCAUUUUUGUCUUCGUGCUUUGAAUACAGCCCGCUUCCUUUCAACACUCCGCUUAAAAGUUUUGAUGUUUUAAGGAAGAAAAAUGAGAUGAUUGUUAUUACUUUUCCUUUGGGAGCAAGUGGAGGAGACCUGCGCUCUUUUGUGCCGCUGAAGAAAGGUUGCUGGCAACCUCAGGCCUCAGGGCUCAAAAAGAGGGACUUAUAGUCUCCUCUUUGGGUCUGUGUGUGAGGAGGUGGGGGGGCGUUGUGCUGCCCCAUGGCCCAGGGCGGGCCCUGAGGACCACAUCCCUGGCCCCCAGGCUGGUUUUUAGCCUGUUAUGGAAGUGCUGGGACAGGAGCAGGCCCUUCUUUUCUCACUCCCUGGCUGCCCCUCCUGGCCCCUCUUCAGGGGGUCCCAAUGGAGAAGUUGGCCCUGGCCAGAGCCACGCUCACACUCCCAUGGAAGAUGCCGCAUGUCCCAGGCCUGGCUCCUUGUAGCAGUGGUGACUUGGUGUCCCUUUUAGCAGGCUCCCAUUCCUAGGGAGGAAGAGAGACAGGGGUGCCUCGGGAAGGGAGAGUGGGAGGGCAUUUGGGAGGGGCAAGGAUCUCUGGUGGAACAAGGCAGAGAGCUGGAUGUCCUCAGGCAGAAAUCCUGGAGCUAGGGAGCUGGAGGGCAGCAGGUGGGAGUGAACAGUGAUUGAAACUCUGUUUUUUUUUUUUUUUUCUCCUGAGGCUUGUGAUCCUGGGCAGCAGAUUACUAUUAUUAUUAUUUUUUAAAAAGGCCAAACCUCUGCCCAGUUCUGAACUCUAAUUCAGCUCCCUCUUUUUUGAGGCCCCUUGUUGGUUGUGUGGGGUUUCAGGGAUGCUUCUGAGGGCAAAGCAGGCCCCUCACCCAGCUGGAGAGAGAAGGCAGUGAGGGAGGGCUGGAUCAUGCCUGCAGCCUUGGGGAGUGAAGCAUUUCCAGGCACUGCUACCAGAGGGGUCAGGCCUCCAGGCCCCUGUCCCCCAAGCCCAGGACACCAGUAGCUGGGAAGGGAAGCGGAGGCCUGGCCAGUCCUGCUCCUCUGCCCCCUGCAAAGUGGACAGAGCUCCUCCUCUCCCCGCUGUGUGUUACCUUUUUUGCAAUCUUACUCCCAUGCCCAAAGCAUGCUUUUGGAUUCUAGGUGAAAGGGAAGGAUAGUGGUGGUGGGGAACAGAUGUUUUAAUUUGCCUCAGGCCUACGAGUCUCCCUACCUGAGGCCCAGCUUGCUGUAGAGUCUAACUGGUCCGUGGCCAGAAGGUGGGCUCCAUAGCUGUCUGGGGGUUGGGGCUCCCGCCCCCAUUUCUGAGCAUUCCUAAGGUUUGGGAGUCUGCUUAUGAUUCUCUGCCAGAGGCCACAGCCACCAGCCCUGAGUGUGGAACAACAGGACAGAGGGGUUAGUUCAGUGCCUUUGGGCAGCUGGUGGAGGGUCUUGGAGAGCUGGGAACGCCUUUCUAGGGAGGCUGGAGACCCUCUGGUCUGUGAGUGGACAGCUGAGAGGGGGGCAGGGGAAAGGAGGGGAGAGGAAGAUGUGGGUGCUGCCUGCUGGGCACCCGGGAUGUGGGAGGACGGACAGCCUCCCAGGCAGAGUGAGUGGGAGCUGCCUUGGAGCCUCUCAGCAGCUGUCCCCGGGGAGGCCUGGCUGUGCGGCGGGCGCCCCCUCUGUGUGAGCAGCCCAGGCAGCUUGAAGAGAGGCCCAAAGGAAGUGCUGUCAGGAAACUCUGAAGAGGAGGGGUCCGGGCUUGCCAGUUCCCUACCAGGGGGUUUUCCAGAAGGAGCAGGGAACUCCCUGCAUGAGGGGAAAGACUUGGAAGUGAGUGGGUUCCUGGAACAGGCUCUCUGAGCUCUGAGUGAGCCCUGCCUGUAAGGGGGUCCUGAGGUGACUCCAGCUUCUGUCCCCACUCCUUCCCUUUCUCUGCUCCAGUGCCAGCUUCAGGUCGCAGGGCAGGUGGCCUUGAGAGAGGGACCUUUCACAGUUUCCCCCUCUUUGGCUCCACCAGGAGAAGGGAGUAUUUUGCUGAUGGCGACAUUUCCCAGGGCAGGCCAGAGGAAGGCAGGAACCAGGACUGGCAGGCAGCCAGAACCCUCUUGGACAGAGAUAUAAUUACUCAUCAUGACCUCUAGCCCAGGCAGCAAGCGAAAUGGCCCUGGAGGCUGGCACCAACCCUGUCUAGCAAAUAAACACGGCCGUGGUGGGGACGGGAGGGCAGCCAAGACAUGGAACAUCUCUGCUAAGAAGCCGAAAGAAAUUGGUUUUCUUCUCGUUGCUGAAAUCCCUCUGUGUCUCUUCUCACGGACAGGCUGGUCCAGUGGCUUUGGUGAGGGCACCUCCAUUUAUGAACACUGGGAUUCCUCCGGGUGGGCUUUGACAGGUGGCUCCUGCGGUAGGAAGGACAACGAGGUCCCUGGGAAGGAGCUGCCUACCCGCUGCUCCACGAGGAAGCUCAGGCCUGCACAGGCUCCACCAGGCCUUGGAUGCCCUCUGGUUGAGUCAGAGAGCGUGUGGACUUGCAGAAGGGGUGUGUUUAGUCUUCACUGCCCUUUCUCAGCUGGUGAAUAGAGACCCUGGGCAUCUCACAGCCUUAGGAAUGUACUGCCCCUCCAUUGCUUUAGACUGCCUUUGGAAAGGGGACCCUGGAAAUGCACUGAGAUCUCCAAUUACUGCCUCCAUUGAUGUCUCUAGACCUGCAGAUACGACGCAAACCUGGGAUCACUUCUUCCAGGUGUGGGCACCAGAGAGGGAAGCCACUGCAACAUGUUAUCCCCAUCAUUCCAACAUGCUUGCUUGUCUUUUUUACCCCACACCCACAACUCCUUCUGAGACUCUUAGUCAUAAAAGAAUGACCAAGGGACUUGGGCUCCAGCGAGAGAAAUGCCUAUGAAAGAGGGUUUCCCUUUUUGCUCCUUUGAAGGCCCUCCCCACUGAUCCUUGAAACCCAAUACCGCAUUGCCUCUUGUGGAUGAGUUUUUGCCUUGGACUGCUUGGGUACUUCAGACCAGGACUGAGUCUGACACAGCUUUCAUGAGGUUACAGAAAAGGGCUACAGAUUUGGGAAGUUGUGUGUAAUGGUCUUGAGACAGUAUCUCCAUUUGGCCCACCCUGGUUUCUCUAAAAACGACGACAGCAACAGACAAACAAAAAGCUCCCACCUCCCACCCCGUUAGCUGUCCUCCUCCUUACUGUGAUGUGGUUGCAGUCUCUGUCUGUAGGUGUGUGUGCUGCCUUGGCCCUCUGUCCUCUGGGGAUGUGCCCUUCCCACGUGUGUCAGGUUCCCACUCUUUCGUGACUCCUAAUGUGAAGUGCUGUGAUGUUUCUGCCCUAAGGGACAUAUCAAGCUCUCUGUGUUUCAGUGUUGGAGAUUGAGGCUGUGCCACAUCUCCUGCCAUCCUAAGGGGACAUGCUGGUUCUGUUACUUCCCAGAGAGCUGCCAGAUUGUGACAGUCUCCAGGAGAACCUACAGAUUGGAAGCAGACCCGGGACUCACUCUUCAUUCAGAAGACUGGUGGCCCACGUGCCAGGACCGCCCCACCUCUCUUGCUGCCUUUUCUCCUGUCCUGACAGGGUUCUGGGAGGGAGACCUGUCGCUGAUGGGAUGAAGAAUGACGUGGGGAUCGAGCAGCCUUUGUCUUUGGGACCCCUCGAUAUCCCAUGGAACCCUUGCACGUUCUCAAAGACUGAGUCACAAGCCCCUACCCCUUCCUUGCUGUGGUUAGUAUCUUGUUCUGUGAUUGGUAAGCAAUGUUGACUACCCACGUAGUGAAUCUUUUGUCUGCAAUUUAGAGAAUGUGUAAACAAAUAAAAGCCUUUAAAACUC
Molecule: long non-coding RNA, 6294 nt
Organism: Chlorocebus sabaeus (green monkey)
Lineage: Eukaryota; Metazoa; Chordata; Mammalia; Primates; Cercopithecidae
Source: RefSeq, a predicted model, not a curated record